UCUACGGGUGGCUGCAGUGGGGAAUAUUGGACAAUGGGCGAAAGCCUGAUCCAGCCAUGCCGCGUGUGUGAAGAAGGCCUUCGGGUUGUAAAGCACUUUCAGUGGGGAAGAAAGCCUUGGGGCUAAUACCCUCGAGGAAGGACAUCACCCACAGAAGAAGCACCGGCUAACUCCGUGCCAGCAGCCGCGGUAAUACGGAGGGUGCGAGCGUUAAUCGGAAUUACUGGGCGUAAAGCGCGCGUAGGCGGUCUGAUAAGCCGGUUGUGAAAGCCCCGGGCUCAACCUGGGAACGGCAUCCGGAACUGUCAGGCUAGAGGGCAGGAGAGGAAGGUAGAAUUCCCGGUGUAGCGGUGAAAUGCGUAGAGAUCGGGAGGAAUACCAGUGGCGAAGGCGGCCUUCUGGACUGACACUGACGCUGAGGUGCGAAAGCGUGGGUAGCAAACAGGAUUAGAUACCCCGGUAGUC
This 465-nucleotide ribosomal RNA is filed under the name Vreelandella stevensii. Its description in RNAcentral is "partial 16S ribosomal RNA". It matches the Rfam family "Bacterial small subunit ribosomal RNA", at positions 338 to 795 of the family's 1533-position model. The record is from RNAcentral. Lineage: Bacteria; Pseudomonadati; Pseudomonadota; Gammaproteobacteria; Oceanospirillales; Halomonadaceae.